UACGUAGGGUCCAAGCGUUAUCCGGAAUUACUGGGCGUAAAGCGUGCGCAGGCGGUGAUGUAAGACAGAUGUGAAAUCCCCGGGCUCAACCUGGGAACUGCAUUUGUGACUGCAUCGCUGGAGUGCGGCAGAGGGGGAUGGAAUUCCGCGUGUAGCAGUGAAAUGCGUAGAUAUGCGGAGGAACACCGAUGGCGAAGGCAAUCCCCUGGGCCUGCACUGACGCUCAUGCACGAAAGCGUGGGGAGCAAACAGG
RNAcentral lists this ribosomal RNA (253 nucleotides) under uncultured bacterium. Its description in RNAcentral is "partial 16S ribosomal RNA". It matches the Rfam family "Bacterial small subunit ribosomal RNA", at positions 524 to 776 of the family's 1533-position model. The record is from RNAcentral.